Molecule: ribosomal RNA, 497 nt
Filed under: uncultured bacterium
Lineage: Bacteria
Description: partial 16S ribosomal RNA
Rfam family: Bacterial small subunit ribosomal RNA
Source: RNAcentral
GACGAACGCUGGCGGCGUGCCUAAUACAUGCAAGUAGAACGCUUAAGAGAGGAGCUUGCUCUUCUUGGAUGAGUUGCGCACGGGUGAGUAACGCGUAGGUAACCUGCCUUGUAGCGGGGGAUAACUAUUGGAAACGAUAGCUAAUACCGCAUAACAAUGGAUGACCCAUGUCAUUUAUUUGAAAGGGGCAAAUGCUCCACGACAAGAUGGACCUGCGUUGUGUUAGCUAGUAGGUGAGGUAACGGCGCACCUAGGCGACGAUACAUAGGCGACCUGAGAGGGUGAGCAGCCACAAUGGGCCUGGGACAAGCCCCAGAACCCUACAGGUCGCACCAGGAGGGAACCCGCGGCAAUGAGUGCAAAUCCGAACCAGCAACGCCGGCUGAGUGGAGAAGAUUCUCGGCUCCUAAAGCUCUGUUGUAAGUCAAGAACGAGUUUGAGGUUGGAAAGAUCCCACUGUGACGGUAGCUAACCAGAAAGCCACGGCUAACUACGUG